RNAcentral lists this long non-coding RNA (1206 nucleotides) under Sarcophilus harrisii (Tasmanian devil). Its description in RNAcentral is "lncRNA (ENSSHAG00000028075.1)". Lineage: Eukaryota; Metazoa; Chordata; Mammalia; Dasyuromorphia; Dasyuridae. The record is from RNAcentral.
GUAGGCACUUACAAAUAUAUGAUUUACUAACAGAGGCUUAAUAAGAUGAUUUUUACACCAGAUAUAUCAAAACUAGAACAAACUUAUUUCAUAGCUUUAUUCCAUAUUUAUAACAAUACAAUAAACUAUCAGGUUGUACGGAGAUUUCUUCUACAAUCACAAAAUAUUCACUUAACCAUUCCUCUUCAGGAAAAAUGAUCCUCUACCUCUAUAUACCAUCCUUCAGCUUUAUCUUGACCUUAAUUUUUUUUUUUUAAAUACCGGGAGCAAUCUGAUGAAUUAAUCAUCAGGGUAUCCAAGCCAUGUCCCCCUUGCCUCUUUAUUAAAACAGAGAGAAUAUGUCGUGAUGAAAAUGUGUGGUUUUUCCAUUCCACCUAUAACCUAUUACAAAAGUGUUAUUCUGCAAGCAUUUAGGUAAGAAAAAGGUAAACAACAAAACCCACAGUUUUUCUUUAAAAAAUCCAAGCUUAUAAUAAGGGCAUUCAUUAGUCAGUAAGUAAUAAGUGAACAAGGCUUAAUAAUGGCCACUUGCUUUUUCUUCUAAACAACAAAUGCUUUUUAAAAUCAGUAGCACAGGUGAAUAUGAAGUGGACUUUAAAACCUUUUCAGAUUCUUACAGUGAACACUUCUGAUUUUAUGACUAAUUACUGAAGUGUUAUGACACACAAAAUUCUAACCAAUGAAUGGAAUUCAUCUUUACAGGUUAUUUUCUGUCCCUAGUAUUUGUGAGGAAUUGAGAUAUUGUUACUAUCCAAAUCCUCCAGUAUAUUAAAAAGUGGCAGUAGUUACUGUCAAUCAAUUUCAGCUGCUUUUUACAGUAGAUUCUUAGGUAUAGUUGUCAAUCACGGAAACAUAGCAACGACAGACAUCUAAAUACAAAAAGCUCGAAUUUUUUUGUCUGUUUUAAAAAUAUGGUCAACAUACCAUUUAUUUCUUAUUAGUACAACAGUAAUUUUGUGCUGAGAAUUACAAACCAUAGACUCUAGGUGUUUACUUCACAAAGAGAGUCUACUAAGAGUUGAAAAAAUUAAUACAUUUCUUAAAAAAAACUCACAGCAAUUUGUUAUUAAACUGAAACUACUACAAAAGGAACAAAUGACAAAAAAUGCACUAAAAAUUUUUUAUCAUAUAUUAUGAGCUACCACAUACAGGAAAUCAAAAACUAAAUCACCUUGAAACCUAACUAAACUGCAUAUUCUAGGAAUA